This 254-nucleotide ribosomal RNA is filed under the name uncultured bacterium. RNAcentral describes it as "partial 16S ribosomal RNA". It matches the Rfam family "Bacterial small subunit ribosomal RNA", at positions 524 to 776 of the family's 1533-position model. The record is from RNAcentral.
UACGGGGGGAGCAAGCGUUGUUCGGAUUUACUGGGCGUAAAGGGCGCGUAGGCGGCCUCCGCAAGUCAGUUGUGAAAUCUCCGAGCUUAACUCGGAAAGGCCAACUGAUACUGCGGGGCUAGAGUGCGGAAGGGGCAACUGGAAUUCUUGGUGUAGCGGUGAAAUGCGUAGAUAUCAAGAGGAACACCUGCGGCGAAGGCGGGUUGCUGGGCCGACACUGACGCUGAGGCGCGAAAGCUAGGGGAGCGAACGGG